Molecule: long non-coding RNA, 373 nt
Filed under: Homo sapiens (human)
Lineage: Eukaryota; Metazoa; Chordata; Mammalia; Primates; Hominidae
Description: HSALNT0167701
Source: RNAcentral
GAGACUCAAACAGCUCAGUAAUGCUUCUGCUGUUGGUUACUGCAUCUAAGACAGGGAUCUUAAAUGCUUCACCUGUACAGACGAGCUUAUCUCAAUGUAGGAGCCAGAAGAAAGAUAAAGAAAAGUGAGAGAAAGACUAGUAGGUAACAGGAGGAAUGAGAAGAAUGAGUGGAGAAGUGGGGAGACAAAAAAUAAAUCAAGAUAAAUAGCAUAAAUGAAUGUGGACAAAGAUUGAAGGAAAGAGAAAUAUAAGAAGACAAGAGGAGGAGAAAUUGAGGUUAAAAUAAAGGUGAGGGCACAGAAUCUGAGAGCUUCAGAAUACUUCAGAUUACAACGUUCUAACAUUUACUCUUUGCUGGGGAAAGUAAGCAGA